RNAcentral lists this ribosomal RNA (478 nucleotides) under uncultured bacterium. Its description in RNAcentral is "partial 16S ribosomal RNA". It matches the Rfam family "Bacterial small subunit ribosomal RNA", at positions 28 to 507 of the family's 1533-position model. The record is from RNAcentral.
GAUGAACGCUAGCGGCAGGCCUAACACAUGCAAGUCGAGGGAGAAGCCCUUUCGGGGGCAGAAACCGGCGCACGGGUGCGUAACGCGUAUGCAACCUACCUUUCACAGGGGGAUAGCCCGAAGAAAUUUGGAUUAAUACCCCAUAAUAUUAUUGGAUGGCAUCAUUUGAUAAUUAAAACUGCGGUGGUGAAAGAUGGGCAUGCGUCCUAUUAGCUAGUUGGAGUGGUAACGGCACCCCAAGGCUACGAUAGGUAGGGGUCCUGAGAGGGAGAUCCCCCACACGGGUACUGAGACAGGGACCAGACUCCUACGGGAGGCAGCAGUGAGGAAUAUUGGUCAAUGGUCGGAAGACUGAACCAGCCAUGCCGCGUGCAGGAAGAAUGCCUUAUGGGUUGUAAACUGCUUUUAUAUGGGAAGAAUAAGGUGUACGUGUACAUUGAUGACGGUACCAUAUGAAUAAGCAUCGGCUAACUCCGUG